UGUUCAAUAUGAAGCUCGCUGAAGACAAGAAACAAAUAUCAUUCACUGUUAAGUGUGUGCCCUGAGACAAAGCUACUACAAUGGAGAAAUGUAUUAGGCAGUACUCGCUCCUAGGUAGUAAUCUUUCCAUUGGACUUUGGCUUGAAGUGGUAAAAACUUGUCAAACGUGUAUUGAGAUUUUAGACAUUUGAGGAUUGAGAUUAUGCAUCUUUUAGCUGGAUUUUAAAACAUGGUUAUUAUUGCUGUCGCCAGGAAUGAAGUGCCCUGUUGGUUGCACGCAGGCUCUGGCUGUUAUUUGCUGCCUUUGUCGUUAUUACUACCUGUGUAACUAUUUUAAGACGUUUUUGUAGUUCAAAUUGAAAUGUAAAAAUGUCUUAUAUUUAGUUACGAAGGUAGUACCUUAAAUUCUCCUGCCAUGUUCUUUAAUUGUGCUAAACUGAGCUUUGUAAUGUGCAAUUAAGGAACCUCUUUCCAUUACGUCAUUGUCAUGUUUGGGGGUAUGCCUGCCGCACAGUACUACCUUUACAAGAACAUCCCUAUAAACUUACAACUGUUCAGGCCUCCUUUGGUUCAUAGGAUAGGAAAAUCAUAGGAAUAGAGUCAUAAGAAAUGAGAUACAUGCAUCUCAAAUCCUAUGAGUAGGAAAGGAGAUGUCUUUUGAUUCACUUCAUAGGAUUUUUUUCAUUGAAUCUAGACUAAUGUUUAUUUUCCUAUGAGAUGUGAAGGAUAGGAAGAAUUCCGUCAUAGGAAUAGGAUUCCAUUCCUCCAAACCAACGGCUCUAAAGAAAUUUUUCCUACAAAAAUCCAAUCAUAUGAAAUUCCUACAAAAAUCCUCCAAACCAAAGGAGGCCUCAACCUUUACAAGAACAUCCUUAUAAAGUUAGAAAAUAACUCUGAGAUCUUUGGGCAUAUUGACGUUGUCGUUCUCUUGGUACACUGAGCAAAUCUCGAUGCUGCCUCUUGAUCUCUGGAGCACCAUCAGAGCAAGGAUAACAUUGUUGACACAAUGGCCGUUAACCCAGCAAUAGCGGACAGAGGACUAGAUUGCUGUCCCGGAAAAGAAGCAACGAGUAGGGUUGGACCGCAAAGCGUCGUGCAAAUUUCUACUACUAAAUGAGAGUUGGUGUUUGCACGUCACCAAAUGUGGUUUCAUCACUCCCUGGGUCAAUGAUUUCCCCUUUUUUCCGUCUUGCAAGCCAUGUUCUGCAUGUAACUCAAUCAAAUAUAUCAAAAUCAUGUCCUGCAUUAACUUAAUCAAAUUAAAUAAAAUCUUAUCAAAAUUUCACUUAAUCAAAACCUUCUUUAUCUUCCCUUAUCAUACUUAAAUUAAAUUAAAUCUUAUUAAAAUCUACAAUAUGAUGGGUGUAACGUAUACGUCGGAUAUGAUUGGUGUUGAACCUCUAGAAUAUGUAUGCCUCUGUUGCAACGCAGAGACAAUUAGUCAGUACUCUCUUUGUAAACUAAUAUAAGAGCGUUUAGAUCAUUAUAAACUAGUUAACGGAGGGAGUAAUUAGGUUUUGAGGGGAUUUCUUGCCGUCAAGUAUUCUCUUAUGUGUUGAGUACAUUGAAUGUACAAAAAUGGCUAUAAUAGAGUUUCCUUUGUUGAAUCUUUUUCAUGACUUGACAGAGAAUUUGAUAAGCCGAAGAUCCCAUUGUAUUCCAGAAGCUCGAGAAGCAUUUUUCGUUCAAAAUGCUAGAACUAGAUAAGGAAGUUUUCUAUCCUUGAUAAAAAAUUGACUCCAUGGUCCAAUGGAUAAGGUGCUGGUCUACCGAUCUAGUGACUCUGGGUUAGAUUAUAUUCAGUUUUUUGCCCUUCUUUGAUCUAACAAAUAUAUAAAUGUAAAGUCAGAUGUUGCCAUCAAGUGACUCCGUGGCCCAAUGGAUAAGGCGCUGGUCUACGAAACCAGAGAUUCUGGGUUCGAUCCCCAGCGGAGUCGGAUUUACCUUUUCGCUUUUUCUGCCGUUGUCUUGGGCCAAAAUAUGGGUACACCUCUCGUGAAGGAAGGCCCAAUAGGCCGUAUAGCUUUUUCUGGGCAAUUCCUAUUUGGCGCUGCAGGCGCCGGUCUGUUGUUUCUGCAAACCGGCGCCUGCAGGCGCGUCAACUGGGCCGGCCCAUCUAGAAUUUUCUUCUGUGUUUAAAAUGAAAAACCCAAAGUCGGAUUUACCUUUUCGCUUUUUCUGCCGUUGUCUUGGGCCAAAAUAUGGGUACACCUCUCGUGAAGGAAGGCCCAAUAGGCCGUAUAGCUUUUUCUGGGCAUUUCCUAUUUGGCGUUGCAGGCGCCGGUCUGUUGUUUCUGCAAACCGGCGCCUGCAGGCGCGUCAACUGGGCCGGCCCAUCUAGAAUUUUCUUCUGUGUUUAAAAUGAAAAACCCAAAGUCGGAUUUACCUUUUCGCUUUUUCUGCCGUUGUCUUGGGCCAAAAUAUGGGUACACCUCUCGUGAAGGAAGGCCCAAUAGGCCGUAUAGCUUUUUCUGGGCAUUUCCUAUUUGGCGCUGCAGGCGCCGGUCUGUUGUUUCUGCAAACCGGCGCCUGCAGGCGCGUCAACUGGGUCGGCCCAUCUAGAAUUUUCUUCUGUGUUUAAAAUGAAAACCCCAAAGCGGACUGCGCUGGUCUUGAUUCGAACCCGCGACCUCCCCGAGCAAAUUACAUGCGCAACCAACACGCCACCCGACUGGGUUCUGUUAGAAAUGAGCUUUCUACCUUUCUUAUUCUUUCUUUUCCCUUUUCCCUUUUCCCUUUUCCCUUUUUCUUUUUUCUAUUUUUUAUUUUCUGUUUUAAAUGCGUGAUUGUAAAUCGGAGUCGGAUUUACCUUUUCGCUUUUUCUGCCGUUGUCUUGGGCCAAAAUAUGGGUACACCUCUCGUGAAGGAAGGCCCAAUAGGCCGUAUAGCUUUUUCUGGGCAAUUCCUAUUUGGCGCUGCAGGCGCCGGUCUGUUGUUUCUGCAAACCGGCGCCUGCAGGCGCGUCAACUGGGCCGGCCCAUCUAGAAUUUUCUUCUGUGUUUAAAAUGAAAAACCCAAAGUCGGAUUUACCUUUUCGCUUUUUCUGCCGUUGUCUUGGGCCAAAAUAUGGGUACACCUCUCGUGAAGGAAGGCCCAAUAGGCCGUAUAGCUUUUUCUGGGCAUUUCCUAUUUGGCGUUGCAGGCGCCGGUCUGUUGUUUCUGCAAACCGGCGCCUGCAGGCGCGUCAACUGGGCCGGCCCAUCUAGAAUUUUCUUCUGUGUUUAAAAUGAAAAACCCAAAGUCGGAUUUACCUUUUCGCUUUUUCUGCCGUUGUCUUGGGCCAAAAUAUGGGUACACCUCUCGUGAAGGAAGGCCCAAUAGGCCGUAUAGCUUUUUCUGGGCAUUUCCUAUUUGGCGCUGCAGGCGCCGGUCUGUUGUUUCUGCAAACCGGCGCCUGCAGGCGCGUCAACUGGGUCGGCCCAUCUAGAAUUUUCUUCUGUGUUUAAAAUGAAAACCCCAAAGCGGACUGCGCUGGUCUUGAUUCGAACCCGCGACCUCCCCGAGCAAAUUACAUGCGCAACCAACAUGCCACCCGACUGGGUUCUGUUAGAAAUGAGCUUUCUACCUUUCUUAUUCUUUCUUUUCCCUUUUCCCUUUUCCCUUUUCCCUUUUUCUUUUUUCUAUUUUUUAUUUUCUGUUUUAAAUGCGUGAUUGUAAAUCGGUGAACUUUUCUUCAAAAUACGGACGUUUUUCAAAAAAUCAUGGCCUAUUUUCAAUUUUGGUGAACUUUUCUAAAAAAAAAUCAUGAACUUGUUUUUCAAAUUCAAUGAACUUUUUUUGGAGUUCAUGAACUUUUUUCAAUUUCGAUGAACUUUUUUCAAAUUUGAUGAACUUUUUUAAAAAAUUUGUGAACUUUUUUCAAAUUCGAUGAUUUUGUUUUUGAAAAUCCAUGAACUUUUUCAAUUUCGAUGAACUUUAUUCAAAUUUGAUAAACUUUUUCAAAACCGAUGAACUUUUUGUUUGAAAAUUGAUGAACUUUUUUCAAGUUUGUGAACUUUUCUUGAAAAUUGCUGAACUACUUUUGAAAAUCCAUGAACUUUUUCAAUUUCGAUGAACUUUUUGUUAGAAAAGUGAUGAAAGUUUUUUCAAGUUUGUGAACUUUUUUUAAAAAUUGAUGAACUUUGUUCGAAAUCUAUGAACCUUUUCAAAUUCAUGUUUUUUUCGUCGAAUAAUUCAAAAAAUAUUAAUUGGUACAAUUUUGUGCAAUAAAAUAGCGAGGAAGCUUUGUUAUUAUAUAAUUCUGCGCUGUUACUAACGCUAGUGGCAAGUAAUUCGAGUGGCUAGCUGAUCUCGCACGCUACUGAAACUACAUUUGUUCAAAACCUGUCCAAAGCAUUUAUUUUUGCGAUUUUUUGAACCCACGCUAUGAUUUUUUGGUGUUGUACACGUUAGUUGGGCCGGCCCAACUCGACGGUGUAGUAGGCGCCGGGGACGACUUCUGGCGCCUGUGGCGCCCAAUAGGAGCUCCCCUUUUUCUGCCGUUCUCUUGGGCCAAAAUAUGGGUGCACCUCUCGUGAAGGAAGGCCCAAUAGGCCGUAUAAGAAAGAAAUAGGCUCAGUUGCGCGUUUUCGCUCAUACAGGCAUAUAUGUCUCGCCUUCAGCGAGUCUUGCCCACGAGAGAGCUGGGCCGGCCCUCGAGCGCGGGAGGUCACAGGCUCUUUUUUCGGGAGCCCCUAUACGGCGCUGCAGGCGCCCGUUGGUGCUACCGGCGCUCGCUAGCGAUGCCUAGCGGGCCGGCCCACCAAUAGACUCGUUAAGAAAACGCGAAGAAAAAACAAAAACCUGUUGAUGUGGUUCGAACCCUGCACCUCAACAUUCACAGCUUAACGCCAUAACCACUUGACAAUCCUAGCUCUUCUGCCUACUACAAAGAAAACCGUCCUAGUUAAUGUUUCCUUUAGUAAAACGUUACCUUAUAACAAAUAUAAUUUUUUUUAAAUUCUUUUUAACAAAACAAGAUCAUCAAUUUUUACCCAAAAAAAUCAUUGUUUUUUGGGGGAAAAAGUUAUUUUGAAAUAAGUUCAUCAAUUUUAUAAAAGGUUCACCUAUUUGGAAAAGAGUUCAUUGAUUCUGAAAAAGGUUCAUCGAUUUCGAAAAACAGUUCACCGAUUUUGAAAAAAAGUUCAUCGAUUUUGAAAAAAAGUUCAUGGAUUGUGAAAAGAGUUCAUCGGUUUUGAAAAAAGUUCAUCGAUUUCGAAAAACAGUUCACCGAUUUUGAAAAAGAGUUCAUCCAUUGUGAAAAGAGUACAUCGGUUUUGAAAAAGAUUUCAUCAAUUUAGAAAUAAAGUUCAUCGAUUUUGAAAAAAGUUCAUCGAUUCUAAAAAAAAAAUCAUGGAUUGUGAAAAGAGUUCAUCGAACUAGAAAAAAGUUCAUCGGCUGUGAAAGAUAGUUCACCGAUUGUGAAAAAAAGUUCACUGAUUUUGAAAAAGAGUUCAACGAUUUAAAAAAAACGUUCUUUCAAAUUAGCAAAAGAAAAAGGAAAAAACGUUCCGAAAAGAAAGAAAAAGAAAAAGAACAAAAAACAUAACAAAACUGUUCCAAAUAAAAAGGAAAAAGAAAUAGGAAAAAGGAAUUGUUACAAGAAUAAAAUGGAGAAGAAGCAGUAGAUAAGCAACUAAUAUGAGGCAGUGGGGUGGUUAGCAAAAGACAGCGAGGUCGUGGGAUCGAUUCCUGUCAAAAGCGCUCCUUUUUUUGUCCUCCUUCCAGGAAGGAAAGGAAAAGAUGGGCCUGCUCCUUCCAGGAAGGAAAGGAAAAGAUGGGCCAGGCCCAGCUAACGCGGCCGCAGGCGCCGGUUUGCUGAAACAGCUAUAACCGGCGCCUGCAGCGCUAAAUAGGAAAUGCCUCUUUUUUCUGUCUUCUUUUUUUACUUUUGUUUAUACUUUAAAAUAUUUCAUAUAUAAAAAAUGGGCUACGCUACAGUGGGCUGGCCCGAUGCUGUAGUGCUCUACGUGAGACCUCCCUCUCGUCUCGCGUAAUGCGAGAUAUAGACGCUGCACCCCAUUGGGCGCUUCCGGCCCCAGUUAUGCAGUUCAACCUGCAAACCAGCGCACACUACGUCUCAGUUCUAGGCAGGCCCAUUCUACAUUUUUCUUUUCUGUUUAAAACUCAAAAAAGGGUGCCAAAGUGCGGGAGGUCCUAUUGGACACAUUCUGCAUCAAUUAGCGACCCCGACACACAGGCACAUGCCCCUACUGGGCCGGCCCAUUGUAGCCAGCGGCGCACGCAGCGAAUGGCGUAUUGCAGCUAACUGCACACUAUAGUGAUCAAUCUGUGGUUGAGAUGGUUAGGUUGACAGUGGUAUCCCCAACCCAUCAGGGUUCAAAUUCUGGUGCUCGCAUUAUUCCUGGAUUUAUUUCAGAAUUUCCGGCGAUGCGUUUUCAGUGGGAGGAGACGUUCCCGUCGAUGACGAGGUGCCUACAGUGACUUCGUAUAUCUCAAGAUGAUGUGCCGGCUCAGUCUUUCGGAGAUGCUCAUAGGGAUAGGGUGUGCGUUCAUAGGGGUGAGUGUAUGCGCGUGUAUAUGAGCGCUUGUGUCUGUACUGAUGCUCAAAAAAAAACUGCACACUAUAGCGACUAUGUACUGUAGCGAUCCAGUUUAAUGUAGUGAAUCGGUUUUUCGGCCCAUGUUUUUAUUUCAAACAUUUUCCAAAUAAAUAAAUAUAUUUCCGAAAAUGUGAACAUUUUAUGAAAUUCCGAACUUUUCAAAAUUGGGAACAUUUUUUGAAAAUUUCCGAACAUUUUUUGAAUUUGUAAAGAAAUUUGGAAAAAGGGACAUUUUCUGAAAUUCCAAACAUUUUUUGAAACGUGAAUUUUGUUUUUAAAUUCUAAAAUGUGAACAUUUUUGAAUUUGUGAUUUUUUUGAAAAAAGGAACAUUUUUUAAAUUCCGAACAAAUUUUUAAAACCUUGAAUAUUUUUUCAAUUUGUGAACAAAAUUUGAAGAACACGAACAUUUUUUGAAAAUUCGGAACAAAUUUUUUGAAACCGGAAACAUUUUUUGAAUUUGUGAAAAAAUUUUGAAAACGGGAUUUUUUUUGAAUUUGUGAAAAAAAUUCUGAAAACAGGAACAUUUUUUAAAUUCGGAAACAAAAUUUCAAAAAAGCUUGAAAAGAAAAAAGGAAAAAAAAGAAAAAUGAAAGAAGCAGAAAAAAGAAAAGAAAAAACAAAAAAGAAGAGAAAUAGAAAAAAGAAAAAAAUAAGCUGAAAAAGAAAAAGCCGGUUCUGGAACCUUCUACAACGUUUCCAAAACCGAAAAAAAAA
Molecule: long non-coding RNA, 7257 nt
Filed under: Triticum aestivum (bread wheat)
Lineage: Eukaryota; Viridiplantae; Streptophyta; Magnoliopsida; Poales; Poaceae
Description: long non-coding RNA (TAES_LNC020953)
Rfam family: tRNA (bases 1865-1937)
Source: RNAcentral